RNAcentral lists this ribosomal RNA (254 nucleotides) under uncultured prokaryote. Its description in RNAcentral is "partial 16S ribosomal RNA". It matches the Rfam family "Bacterial small subunit ribosomal RNA", at positions 524 to 777 of the family's 1533-position model. The record is from RNAcentral.
UACGGAGGAUGCGAGCGUUAUCCGGAUUUAUUGGGUUUAAAGGGUGCGUAGGCGGCCUUAUAAGUCAGCGGUGAAAUUUUGCAGCUUAACUGUAAAAGUGCCGUUGAUACUGUGAGGCUAGGAUUUGGUUGCUGUGGGUGGAAUGUGUGGUGUAGCGGUGAAAUGCUUAGAGAUCACACAGAAUAUCGAUUGCGAAGGCAGCUCACAAAGCCAAGAUUGACGCUGAGGCACGAAAGUGUGGGGAUCAAACAGGA